Molecule: ribosomal RNA, 253 nt
Filed under: uncultured prokaryote
Description: partial 16S ribosomal RNA
Rfam family: Bacterial small subunit ribosomal RNA
Source: RNAcentral
ACGAAGGGUGCUAGCGUUGUUCGGAAUUACUGGGCGUAAAGCGCGCGUAGGCGGCUUCUCAAGUCAGGGGUGAAAUCCUGGGGCUCAACCCCAGAAUUGCCUUUGAAACUGUGAAGCUAGAGUGUCGGAGGGGAUAGCGGAAUUCCUAAUGUAGAGGUGAAAUUCGUAGAUAUUAGGAGGAACACCGGUGGCGAAGGCGGCUAUCUGGACGACAACUGACGCUGAGGCGCGAAAGCGUGGGUAGCAAACAGGA